CCUCAUAUCGCGUCAUACCACAUUAACUUAUAUAAGUGCCCACAGUCAAGAUUAAGUKAUCUAAGGGUGCACCACGGAUUCUAAGACAAACUACUCCUUAACUUCUGAAUAUUGCACUAUAGAUACUGGAUACKUAGAACUUGUAUGUAGCUCUAGUCAUAUAUGUAUUACGGAAUUAUAAAAUCAACCAAUAAGACAUUUUAGAAUCAACAGAAUUUCUAUUUCACAAUAAUGGAUCAUAAUUCUCAAAGAAUACAUAAGAUGASUGUAUACCAAGUUACAUCAACAGCGCUCCUUUUAAUGGUGGUCAUUACAAUGAUUCCUACAUCCGCAACCAAUACAACAGUCACUGACGCAUCAACAACAACUGUUAAAGCCGCAGCCACUACAACCAUCACUGAGUCAUCAAAAACAACUGGUGAACCAAAUACAACCGUCAUUGACGCAUCGACAAAAACUGGUGAACCGCUACCACCGUCACUGAUUCACCACCAACAACUGGUGAACCCACUACAACCACCAUUCAAUCAACAAAAACAACUAAAACCACCACUGAAUCAACAAAAACAACUGGUGAACCAACUAAAACCACCACUGGAAUCAUCAAAAUACAACUGGUGAACCAACUAAAACCACCACUGAAUCAACAAGAACAACUUAGUGAACC
Molecule: long non-coding RNA, 667 nt
Organism: Salvelinus sp. IW2-2015
Lineage: Eukaryota; Metazoa; Chordata; Actinopteri; Salmoniformes; Salmonidae
Source: RefSeq, a predicted model, not a curated record